This is a long non-coding RNA of Chinchilla lanigera (long-tailed chinchilla), 4014 nucleotides long. The record is from Ensembl. NCBI's taxonomy places the organism in Eukaryota, Metazoa, Chordata, Mammalia, Rodentia, Chinchillidae.
UUUUCCCCUCUGUCUCUCUGGUUGUAGCAGAAGCCAUUCGCCUCUGCCCGCCCUCCCACGGGACCAGUCAAGCCCAGCUGGACUUUGGUCAACAGGACAGGAGGUGAGGGAGACAGCCAGACCUUGACCAGACCCCUCUGUUUUGGCUCUGGUUUUACCAGCUGUGCCCAAAUCUGCUACCUUUGCCCUUUGAUCAAGGAGCACUAGGGAGGCUCAGGAUAAUCACUGAGAAACAAGGACGGAGGGGAGGGUCCGUGCGGGGCGGACAGGGCAGGGGACAAGGGCCGCAGCCCCCUGUCGUCAGGCUGAGGAAAGGUGGCUGGAAGGGGAGGGAUGGGCGAAAUGGGGAAAUUCACGAGGUUGUUGCCUCACUCCCCCCAGGUACAUCCUCAGCUUCACCCUGGAUUCCUGUACACAGGGCCGGAGAAUUUCAGAAGCUGAAACGCUUUUAAUGACCUCCUUUAUUGCCCUGCACCUGGUGCCUCAGCCUAGGAAAAUCACAGCAGCGGUGUGGCUGCCGUGAAAACUAAAAGGAAGAGUGCCGGGGAGUGGCGGCCCCGGUGUUGUCCCAGGGAGCAGCGCUUGAUUGCUCACCGCAGUCACUGAAAGUGUCACCAGAGGAGAGGGCUGGCGGGGGUGGGGGAAGUCACCCGGCUCGUGCACAGCAGUGAGAGUCCAGGAGGGCAAGUCGGGGGCUCUGUGUCCAGGCCUCCUGGCACCACCACGACACGUGGACGCCCUCCCUUCCCUGCAGGGUGUCACCACCCCCUCCCUCGUGUCCCCCCCCCCAUGCCCAGCGGUCAUCAAGCCCUCGGUCAGAGCCCUCUGGUUUUUUUGAGACAGGGUCUCGCUAUACAGUUCGGGCUGGCCUUGAGCUUACUUUGUAGCCCAGGCUGGUCUUGAGCUCGCAACGAUCCUCCUGCCUCAGCCUCCCGAGUGCUGGGAUUACAGGCGUGCGCCACCAUGCCCAGUGGUCAGAGCCCUUUGGGCAUUGGCUGUCACUGCCUCACUUGGGACAUUUAUGGGCUUCUGACUUUUGCCCUCACCUGGACCCUGAAUUCUUCAGACAGGGGCUGCCUGCAGGAGAGUAGAGCGGCCCUCACCAAAGGGAAGGGAGGUGGGAAGGAGGGGAAGAAGGGAGGAGGGGAGGAAGCGGGGAAGGGAGGAGAACUAGAACCAAACCUUCCAGUUUUCUUCACAGAAAGCAGAGGGCGGGACUACGAAGUGCUGGGGACACCCUGCUGCGUCCUCUGCCCCCGGACUGUGAGAGGGGGAUCUGCGCACACUGAGGAGCCCCAGAAGCUACCUGGAAACCAGGCCCUGGGAGAGGAAGGGGCUGCCGGGCCCCACAGCCAUCGGGAGCAGAGCCCAGCUCACAGAUGAAGACAGGAGAGGGCAGUGGCUUGCCCUGGGGCCACAGCCAGCCCAGCACAUCCUGGAGCCGGGACCGCCCCUCUCCACAUGCUUGCUUGGUGUCACCACACCGCCCAAGACCCAGCUGCUGCUGCAUCCCACAGCCUCCCGGCUCCUCCUAAGGAGAGGACACUCUGAAGACUGGGCACAGAGACAGGCCCUCUGGACGAACGACACGGUGGUGGCUGGUGCUGGGCGACCGGACCCUCUAUCGGCUGGAACAGGAGUGUGGAGGCCAGCUCACCUGACAGGGAGAGACUGGGUGGGACCAGCACCAGGCGACAAGGAAGCACCUGUUAGGAGUGAGCCCGGGCCAGGUACUUGCAAGAUGCAAGAUGAUGACAUUCAGCCCAGGCAGAGCGGCCAGGUGUGUGAGCAGCUGUCUUAGGGCUGGUGCCCUGAGGGGACAGCCUCUACUGAGGGCAACCAAGUCUUCGCCCUUCCGUCCUUCCUGCCCAAUGAGACCACGAUGAGGACACAAAUGCCCCCUACUGAGCUUCCAGGGAGGACAGAGUUCCACGGCUGCCUGUCCCGCAGGGUGGGUUGGUGUCCUUCCGUGUUCCUGGAACAGCCUUGAGUGCCAUACUUCACUCCACGCCCUGGUCUCUCAUUGUCUGUGAGGCGUACACGGCAGCCCUGCAUGCAAAGUGGGAGGUGGGGAGGAAACGCAGGAGCCAGCGCCAGAGUCAGAGGCUGCCAGCCCCUGAAGAUAAAUAAGCUUUAAACUGGGAGGCUCCAGAGGGCUGAGAGCAGGCGAAGGAAUCUCCACCCAGGUUUGGGAGGCAAAUAAGAUCCACAGCUUCUUGUUCAGGGAACUGUGGGUUCAGGGUAAAAAUCAGAUAAGCUAAUGAGGGAGCCAGUAUAUUGUAAUCUGAGGGGGGAAAAAAGAAUUCUAUUUUCACAGUGAGGAAACUGAGGGCCGGAGAGGAGAUAUGACUUGUCCAAGGUCAAUCAAUGAGUGUGAAAGUGCACACAAGGCUCCAACCGGCACCACUACCCUGACUUCCCUGUGUGUUAGUCAGCUUUCUGUUACUGUAACAAAAUACCAGGGAUAAACAAGUGAAAGCGGGGAAAGGUUUAUUUGACUCACAAUUUCGGAGGGCUCACUCCACAGCCACCUGGCCCUGCUCCCUUUGGGCCUGUGGCAAGGCAGGACAACAUGGCAGGAAUACACGGCUGUCUUGGCUAUUUUUCUCUCAUUGCUGAAACAAAAUACUUGACGCCCAGAAUUAAGGCAGGAAAGUUUUAUUUAGCUCACAGUUGGUGGAGGUUUCAGUCCACACUCCACUGACUCCAAGGCAGAGUAGCACAAGGCAGAGGCAACAGGUCAUGGCGGUGGUGGAAAAGAGCAAAAGCAACAAGAACAAAAAAGGGAGAAGCAGCAGCAAGUCUUUUUCCCUCCCUUCUCUUGUAUGCAGGCUGUCUGCCCCAGGGCAGCUAUAGCACUCACACCCAUAAUCCUAGCACUGGACCAUGAAUCAGUCAUAAACUCUAGAAGCCACCCCACGACUGCAUGAGGCUUUAGGGGGGACAUCCAGACACAACCAUAACAAUAGCAGAGAUGCUGCUGGCCUCCUGGUGGCUGGGAAGCAGAGAGAAGGAGAGCAAGGGGCUGAGGUCCCGGCAUCCCCUUCAACCUACUAUGCCCUUCCUCUUAAAGGUGCCACAACUUUCCAUUAGCACCACGGGCUGGGGUUCAAGUCUUGAACACGUGGGCCUUUGAGGUACAUUUAAGACCCAAAGCGUAGCACCAGAGAGUGGAUUCCAUAGCCAGGACGGCUUUCCUCAGGUCUCGCGAAUGAUGUUAAUACAGAUUGCGGGUCCUUUACACUGUAGUAUAAAGUUGUGAUCCACAUGCUUGGCAAAGACAUAGCAACAAACAGGACUGGAGGGGAACGUAAAAGCAUAGAGGCUGGGGAUGAGAUGGGACAGUUAGGGAACAUGUACAUCUUGGGUCUAGGAGGGGCCUCAAAGAACCUGGGCAAUGGGGGAUGAGGAAGACUAUCUCAAGUCAGACAGAGAGCUGACGGAGCCAAAUACAAAACUACCAGAGUCUCCGAAGGCUUUGUGUCCUGACUCUCUCUCCCCGGAGUUGGGUGUUGCGGCUGGAGUUAGACAGUGGAGACCCGUCCUCUGGGCCUCCCCUCCACCUCUGGGUCCCCAGGAGAGCUGCCCUGGGAGCAGGUGGAGCCCAUCUCAUUUUCCCGUCCUUGUGCAGAAGGAAAGAGGAAAGGAAAGGAGAACCUGGGAGGGUCACUGAGGCUCGCUGGGCCGCCCUGUCCAGUGGAAAGGCCAGGAGGAGCCUUGGUGCCGCCAGGGGACUUGUUUACUAGAAGCCGAGGCUGGCAGGGAGCAUGAGACUCUGAAAGGGCAGAGUCUAAAUCGUCAUUCCCAAUUUGAAUGAACUCUGAGGGCUGUACAGUUUCGUUUUGUGUUUUAUUUCUUUUCCUUGAUCUCUGUCGGCUUCGCCCACUCCGCCCUCCAUCCACCUGCCAUGGAAACGAACUUGGAGGAAACAAACAAAGCACACAGAAGGACGUUUCCAGCGCACAUCAUUCCACCCCCUGCGUGAGCGAGCAGGGGCCAACACGUCUGUGUGCU